UACGUAGGGUGCGAGCGUUAAUCGGAAUUACUGGGCGUAAAGCGCGUGUAGGCGGGUCUUUAAGUCAGGGGUGAAAUGCCAGGGCUCAACCUUGGAACUGCCUUUGAUACUGGAGACCUUGAGUCCGGGAGAGGUGAGUGGAAUUGCGAGUGUAGAGGUGAAAUUCGUAGAUAUUCGCAAGAACACCAGUGGCGAAGGCGGCUCACUGGCCCGGAACUGACGCUGAGACGCGAAAGCGUGGGGAGCAAACAGG
RNAcentral lists this ribosomal RNA (253 nucleotides) under uncultured bacterium. Its description in RNAcentral is "partial 16S ribosomal RNA". It matches the Rfam family "Bacterial small subunit ribosomal RNA", at positions 524 to 776 of the family's 1533-position model. The record is from RNAcentral.